CAGGUUUUGGGGACGAAGAAGAUGAUGAUGAUGAUGAGGUUGUAGAUAGCUCACAGCAAGCAAGCGGAGAAACCGGUUUUCCCGACAGCCAGGAACUGUUUCUCACCCUGGACCUCGAGCCAGUACCCCCCCGAACCCACCCAAGGCUGCCUCCUGGACCCAGCAGGCGGAGAAGGGACCUCUGCUGCAUGUGUUUCAAUGAUCACAGGAUCUUCUCCUUCCCAGAGGCUAGUGAAGAUUAGAAAGAAAAAAAAAACGCACUUGAAAUGUUUUCCAAGCUCAUGCUGUCCUCCUGCACUGACAGAGCACAGACGAAUGCGUGGAGGCAAAUAAUGUCAGAGUGCAGGAAAGCACAAAAUGACCGGGAGGAGAGGUGGCGGGCUGAAGAGAGUAAGUGGCGGGCUGAAGAGAGGGCUAAGCUCAAAUGUGGCGGCAGCGUGAUGAGAGGAGGCAGGAUUCAAUGCUGAGGCUGCUGGAGGACCAAACCAGUAUGCUCCAGUGUAUGGUUGAGCUGCAGCAAAGGCAGCUGGAGCACAGACUGCCACUACAGCCCCUGUGUAACCAACCGCCCUCCUCCCCAAGUUCCAUAGCCUCCACACCCAGACGCCCAAGAACGCGGUGGAGGGGCCACCGGCCAACCAGCCACUCCGCCACAGAGGAUUGCCCAAAAAAAAGAAGGCUGUCAUUCAAUAAAUUUUAAAGUUGUAAACUUUUAAAGUGCUGUGCUUAAAGUGCUGUGUGGCAUUUUCCUUCCCUCCUCCACCACCCCUCCUGGGCUACCUUGGUAGUCACCCCCCUAUUUGUGUGAUGAAUGAAUAAAGAAUGCAUGAAUGUGAA
Caretta caretta (loggerhead turtle) is the source of this 837-nucleotide long non-coding RNA. RefSeq lists it as uncharacterized. The record is from RefSeq and is a predicted model, not a curated record. NCBI's taxonomy places the organism in Eukaryota, Metazoa, Chordata, Testudines, Cheloniidae.